RNAcentral lists this ribosomal RNA (254 nucleotides) under uncultured soil bacterium. Its description in RNAcentral is "partial 16S ribosomal RNA". It matches the Rfam family "Bacterial small subunit ribosomal RNA", at positions 26 to 288 of the family's 1533-position model. The record is from RNAcentral.
AGGACGAACGCUGGCGGCGUGCUUAACACAUGCAAGUCAAGGGGGAGUCGCAAGACUCAACCGGCGAACGGGUGCGUAACACGUGAGCGACCUACCUAAUUGUGGGGGAUAGCCGGCCCAACGGCCGGGUAAUACCGCAUACGAUCGGAGAGGGGCAUCCCUUUCUGAGGAAAGCCUUCGGGCGCAAUUUGAGGGGCUCGCGGCCUAUCAGCUAGUUGGCGGGGUAACGCCCACCAAGGCGACGACGGGUAGCU